GUGCUUGCUUCGGCAGCACAUGUACUAAAAUUGGAACGAUACAGAGAAGAUUAGCAUGGCCCCUGCACAAGGAUGACACGCAAAUUCAAGAAGCGUCCAUAUUUUUC
Erinaceus europaeus (western European hedgehog) is the source of this 107-nucleotide small nuclear RNA. The record is from Ensembl. NCBI's taxonomy places the organism in Eukaryota, Metazoa, Chordata, Mammalia, Eulipotyphla, Erinaceidae.